Molecule: long non-coding RNA, 236 nt
Filed under: Gossypium barbadense (sea-island cotton)
Lineage: Eukaryota; Viridiplantae; Streptophyta; Magnoliopsida; Malvales; Malvaceae
Description: long non-coding RNA (GBAR_LNC009324)
Source: RNAcentral
AAAACCAAAAUUUCAAGGGUAGUUCAUGACAAUUUGUUUCUAUGAACCGUUUGAAUCGGGAAGAAGUACUCCAAUUUCUUUCACAGGAAGAUGAAGAUGCAGUCUGAGAAAGAAGCCUAGAAGCAGGGCCCUGAAGCAAGGGUGUGGUUACACCGUAGUUAGCCCACCAAGACAAAGGGUCCUCAUGCCCUCUUGAUGCAAUGAUAUGAGGUUGAUUAAUGUAACCCAACUCACAC